RNAcentral lists this long non-coding RNA (1001 nucleotides) under Takifugu rubripes (torafugu). RNAcentral describes it as "lncRNA (ENSTRUG00000028858.1)". The record is from RNAcentral. Lineage: Eukaryota; Metazoa; Chordata; Actinopteri; Tetraodontiformes; Tetraodontidae.
CCUGGAGAACAUUUGGCACUGCUUUAUUUUGGCCAGCAGACACUUUCGCUUUUCAUACCCAACCAAAACAGAAACUGGCCCAGGAUCCGUGAGCUUUCACUUGUGUGUUCACGCGGACACAAACAGCUGUUUUGAGUUGCCCUCCCGUUGCUCCGUGCCUUUAUUCGCCGGCGCUUGGCUCAGCUCGCUGAGAGCCGAAUCCUUUACAUGCAGGGUGCAGAGCCAGCUGGGGGUGUUUGUCAUUGCUCCACCUCUGCCCACUUCUCCUUCAGUGUCGGUGAGUGGCGACAGAACCGGUUCCUUCUUUUCCUGGAUGACAUCACCAAACCAGUGAGGUUUAAAAAAAAUGGACGACAGCGCCUACUCUGGGCUGAGGGCCAGGUCAGCGUCGUACCGCUGGAUCCCCACCUGUUUCUUAUGAUGGAGGAGCCCCGCUAGCCUUCCUCAGCUCCAUGUCUCAGAUUGAUCACUCCGUGGUCACUCCGUGGGGAUUAUCAGGGACUCUUGGUGAUGGUCGACUGCUUGAAGAACAAACAUUUUCUGGAGGUCUGAUCCCACGACGCCGUCUAGCUCCACGCCUUCCCUCAUCAGCUCCAUCUCUACGGCCUGAUGCAACGCAGAAUCUACAGGAAAUCAAAGACAUGACGAGGCAGAACUCUUCAAUUUGACUUUGGGCCAUUUCCCUUAGAUCCCAGGCUGUUAAAUCGGAGCGCCCAAGACUAUAAAUAAUGCAAACAUUCAAGAAAAUCUGAGGAACUAUUGGUCAGUUUUGAUUCUUCGUGUCUGUGAGCUCUCCGGUGUGUUGUUGCAGCCUCUCUGGGAACCAUAUGCUUUUAGAUACUUUACUAAAAACCGAUCAAUAUUGAUGAGGCUGACAGGGGGAAGAGAACGAUCACUCUCCAGCCAUCAUGCGCUAAUGAAUACCAUGAACGUGGCUCCAGCCAAGGGGAAGGUGUGCGGGAUCCAACGGCUGCGCGUGAUGCAUUACUGCUGAAGAUUAA